This 433-nucleotide ribosomal RNA is filed under the name uncultured bacterium. RNAcentral describes it as "partial 16S ribosomal RNA". It matches the Rfam family "Bacterial small subunit ribosomal RNA", at positions 29 to 507 of the family's 1533-position model. The record is from RNAcentral.
AGCGAACGCUGGCGGCAGGCCUAACACAUGCAAGUCGAACGAACUCUUCGGAGUUAGUGGCGGACGGGUGAGUAACACGUGGGAACGUGCCUUUAGGUUCGGAAUAACUCAGGGAAACUUGUGCUAAUACCGAAUGUGCCCUUCGGGGGAAAGAUUUAUCGCCUUUAGAGCGGCCCGCGUCUGAUUAGCUAGUUGGUGAGGUAAAGGCUCACCAAGGCGACGAUCAGUAGCUGGUCUGAGAGGAUGAUCAGCCACAUUGGGACUGAGACACGGCCCAAACUCCUACGGGAGGCAGCAGUGGGGAAUCUUGCGCAAUGGGCGAAAGCCUGACACAGCCAUGCCGCGUGAAUGAUGAAGGUCUUAGGAUUGUAAAAUUCUUUCACCGGGGACGAUAAUGACGGUACCCGGAGAAGAAGCCCCGGCUAACUUCGUG